AUACGGAGGACGCGAGCGUUAUCCGGAUUCAUUGGGUUUAAAGGGUGCGCAGGCGGCCGUGCAAGUCAGCGGUGAAAGCCCGGGGCUCAACCCCGGAAGUGCCGUUGAUACUGCAUGGCUGGAAUGCGGUCGAGGCGGGCGGAACGUGGGGGGUAGGGGGGAAAUGCGUAGAUAUGCCACAGAACGCGGAGAGCGGAGGCAGCUCGCCGGGCCUGCAUUGACGCUCGGGCACGAAAGCGUGGGGAUCGAACAGGAUUAGAUACCCUGGUAGUCCACGCCGUAAACGAUGGGCGCUCGUCGUCGGCGGCAGACAGUCGGCGGCCAAGCGAAAGCGAUAAGCGCCCCACCUGGGGAGUACGGUCGCAAGGCUGAAACUUAAAGGAAUUGACGGGG
Molecule: ribosomal RNA, 393 nt
Filed under: uncultured bacterium
Lineage: Bacteria
Description: partial 16S ribosomal RNA
Rfam family: Bacterial small subunit ribosomal RNA
Source: RNAcentral